AUGCAGGAACUGUUACAAUACAACUGAAAAGUGUUCUAUUGUCGUUCCCCCUGCUUAAAGUAAUUGAUGCAUACUAUCUCUGUCUAGCACGAUUCUGUAGUAAGACAGAGACGCUUGGCCUCAAACAU
RNAcentral lists this small nucleolar RNA (128 nucleotides) under Sorex araneus (European shrew). RNAcentral describes it as "Small nucleolar RNA SNORA63 (ENSSARG00000016594.1)". It matches the Rfam family "Small nucleolar RNA SNORA63". Rfam says of the family: E3 belongs to the H/ACA class of snoRNAs and is involved in the processing of eukaryotic pre-rRNA and has regions of complementarity to 18S rRNA. The record is from RNAcentral. Lineage: Eukaryota; Metazoa; Chordata; Mammalia; Eulipotyphla; Soricidae.